UACGUAGGGUGCGAGCGUUGUCCGGAAUCAUUGGGCGUAAAGCGCGUGUAGGCGGCCCGGUAAGUCCGCUGUGAAAGUCCAGGGCUCAACCCUGGGAUGGCGGUGGAUACUGUCGGGCUCGAGUCCGGAAGAGGCGAGUGGAAUUCCUGGUGUAGCGGUGAAAUGCGCAGAUAUCAGGAGGAACACCAAUGGCGAAGGCAGCUCGCUGGGACGUGACUGACGCUGAGACGCGAAAGCGUGGGGAGCAAACAGG
RNAcentral lists this ribosomal RNA (253 nucleotides) under uncultured bacterium. RNAcentral describes it as "partial 16S ribosomal RNA". It matches the Rfam family "Bacterial small subunit ribosomal RNA", at positions 524 to 776 of the family's 1533-position model. The record is from RNAcentral.